Lucilia sericata (common green bottle fly) is the source of this 217-nucleotide long non-coding RNA. RefSeq lists it as uncharacterized. The transcript is spliced from 2 exons. NCBI's taxonomy places the organism in Eukaryota, Metazoa, Arthropoda, Insecta, Diptera, Calliphoridae. The record is from RefSeq and is a predicted model, not a curated record.
GCGAAAUUCCUAUUGUUUCGUGUGAUAACAACCAUUGUAGUUUAAUAUUUCAUGCUGUUUGUCUUAAAGAGUGGUUUAGUACUUUGGCUGACGGAAAAACGUUUCUUGAUGUUGCUUUUGGUGUCUGUCCAUUUUGCAAAGCGAAAUUAUCCACAUCUUUCCAAGAAAUUCUGUCAUAAUCUUUAUAAUUUGAAUUAAUAAAGGUACGUACUUAAAA